Gorilla gorilla gorilla (western lowland gorilla) is the source of this 533-nucleotide long non-coding RNA. RefSeq lists it as uncharacterized. The transcript has 3 exons. NCBI's taxonomy places the organism in Eukaryota, Metazoa, Chordata, Mammalia, Primates, Hominidae. The record is from RefSeq and is a predicted model, not a curated record.
GUUCAUGGUGGAGCCCCAGGCAUUGUCUCUCAAGAAACGGUCUGCAGAACAUGGAAGUGAUGGCUGGAGCUGUGGCAGCCAUUUUGCACCAUGAGACAAACUUGUGGCAGCAGCCAUAUAUAAAAGAUGGAGGAGCAGAAAGACAAAAGGAAUCCGGAUAUCUCACGACCACUGAAUCAUCAUCACACCAGCCCUGCAUCAUCUGCCUCUGGUGCUGAGGACCCCUGCUUUUCUGAGCUCCGCUGGACACCUCUCUGAAUGCCCAAAGCACCCCUGACUGAGUCUGCAAAACUCAGUGCGUGGCCUCACCAUGGCCUCAGCCACCCAAGACAGGAACAGGGGCCGCUUCAACUCUUUCCUUCCCUCUUCCCUGUCCCCGCCCCUGGCUGCCAGGCCCCGGAGAUUCAGCCUUUCUCAGGCCUGGCCACCUCCCUGCAUCCUCACCAUCACUUUGCUGGUACCAGACACUACCAUGUCUCACUUGGACACCUGCGAUCAUCCCUUCCUGUGGCUCCUGAGUCAUUGCGGAUCCA